RNAcentral lists this long non-coding RNA (313 nucleotides) under Vigna radiata. RNAcentral's name for it is "long non-coding RNA (VRAD_LNC006855)". The record is from RNAcentral. Lineage: Eukaryota; Viridiplantae; Streptophyta; Magnoliopsida; Fabales; Fabaceae.
AAAACAUGUUCAACAGAUAUAACAACAAGUUCAGAACAAGAACAUGUAAAACAACAACAUGUGUACUGUUACUAAGCAUUGUGUUGUCAUCAUCAAAAACUAGAUUGAUAUAGAGUUUUUAUUGUCAACAAUCUCAACAAUCUCCCCCUUUUUUGAUGAUGCACAACCAUGAUUAAUAACUCAACCAUGUUUGUAUAGUUUAGCACAAUAUUCAACAUAAAUCAAGUAGAAACAAUAUGAGACAGAUUAUUCUCCCCCUUUCACAAAGCAUUAAUACUUCCUCUCAUACUCUCAUGAAUAUCUCUCCCCCUUU